GACACCUGUAACCUGACGUCGCUGCGCGGUCGGAAACAGGCAGGGAGUAAAUUUGUUUAAAACUUAAUGAGCGGCCGUGGAUAACCCUCGGCGAAAUCAGGAUUUGCACCGAUUUACAAGACAACUGACGUUCAUAUGCUUUAUAUGCAGGAAUGAUUACAGGUUGACAUCGGCAGCAUGGACCUGAUGAAAUUAGAGUUUUCCUGCCUUCUGCUGAAACAUUUCAUGCUCUGUGUUGCCUCAGCUCCUCAGACAUAAUAAGGACACAACGUGAAGUGCUGACCGGCGGCGGCUUCCUGGUUCCCAGCGCUGGUUCUGUCCAGGCGGCAGGAAGUGAGGCGCGCAUGUUGCAACACAUCAUCACCAGGUUUCCCUCAGUGGCUUCAUGAUGAUCUUAGGGAGGAAUUCUUUUGUCUGUCCUUAUGGAAACAGUGUCUGUUGGUGUCUGAUGAUGACAAAUGAGCCGCAUACCGGCUCUUCUUUCUUCCGGAAACUGUUUUGAAACUUCACACCUACACAGUCCAGGGAAAACUUUGCUCUGUUUACAGUUUGUGAUGGUGAAUUAAACAAAA
Long non-coding RNA from Poeciliopsis prolifica (blackstripe livebearer), 572 nucleotides. RefSeq lists it as uncharacterized. The record is from RefSeq and is a predicted model, not a curated record. NCBI's taxonomy places the organism in Eukaryota, Metazoa, Chordata, Actinopteri, Cyprinodontiformes, Poeciliidae. The transcript is spliced from 3 exons.